GAGCUACUGUGAAAUAGCAAUGGUUUGGCCAGGCAAGCUCUGUACUUUUCUCCUUUCGCUCCUAAUCGUGGUUGCGUUAGAAUCAGUUUCCUGCGAUGAAUCGGCAGAAUCUGGCGAUCCCGUGGACGAUGAGGACCAAGAAAGACGCAAUUGGGGCUGGAAAAUCUUUAUCGGGGCUAUGAAAGGUGCUGUGAAAGGUGCUGUGAAAGCUAUGGGAAUUGAUAUGGAGGACGAAUCAGGAGAAUCCCAGCAGAAAACUAUUACCUAAUUUUUUAAACCACGCAAACAACUGAUAAUGAAGAAAAAGUGUUAAUUCGAUAAAGAAAAAUACAAAUACCAAACAGCA
Molecule: long non-coding RNA, 346 nt
Organism: Cloeon dipterum
Lineage: Eukaryota; Metazoa; Arthropoda; Insecta; Ephemeroptera; Baetidae
Exons: 3
Source: RefSeq, a predicted model, not a curated record